UAACGAAGUAUUCCCAACAGA
This 21-nucleotide non-coding RNA is filed under the name Caenorhabditis elegans. The record is from RNAcentral. Lineage: Eukaryota; Metazoa; Nematoda; Chromadorea; Rhabditida; Rhabditidae.